CGAACCGGGGGAACUGAAACAUCUAAGUACCCCGAGGAAAAGAAAUCAACCGAGAUUCCCCCAGUAGCGGCGAGCGAACGGGGAGCAGCCCAGAGUCUGAAUCAGCUUGUGUGUUAGUGGAACGGUCUGGAAAGUCCGACGGUACAGGGUGAUAGUCCCGUACACCAAAAUGCACAGGUUGUGAACUCGAAGAGUAGGGCGGGACACGUGGUAUCCUGUCUGAAUAUGGGGGGACCAUCCUCCAAGGCUAAAUACUCCUGACUGACCGAUAGUGAACCAGUACCGUGAGGGAAAGGCGAAAAGAACCCCGGCGAGGGGAGUGAAAAAGAACCUGAAACCGUGUACGUACAAGCAGUGGGAGCACCUUCGGGUGUGACUGCGUACCUUUUGUAUAAUGGGUCAGCGACUUAUAUUCUGUAGCAAGGUUAACCGUAUAGGGGAGCCGCAGGGAAACCGAGUCUUAACUGGGCGUUAAGUUGCAGGGUAUAGACCCGAAACCCGGUGAUCUAGCCAUGGGCAGGUUGAAGGUUGGGUAACACUAACUGGAGGACCGAACCGACUAAUGUUGAAAAAUUAGCGGAUGACUUGUGGCUGGGGGUGAAAGGCCAAUCAAACCGGGAGAUAGCUGGUUCUCCCCGAAAGCUAUUUAGGUAGCGCCUCGUGAACUCAUCUUCGGGGGUAGAGCACUGUUUCGGCUAGGGGGUCAUCCCGACUUACCAACCCGAUGCAAACUACGAAUACCGAAGAAUGUUAUCACGGGAGACACACGGCGGGUGCUAACGUCCGUCGUGAAGAGGGAAACAACCCAGACCGCCAGCUAAGGUCCCAAAGUCAUGGUUAAGUGGGAAACGAUGUGGGAAGGCACAGACAGCCAGGAUGUUGGCUUAGAAGCAGCCAUCAUUUAAAGAAAGCGUAAUAGCUCACUGGUCGAGUCGGCCUGCGCGGAAGAUGUAACGGGGCUAAACCAUGCACCGAAGCUGCGGCAGCGACACUAUGUGUUGUUGGGUAGGGGAGCGUUCUGUAAGCCUGCGAAGGUGUGCUGUGAGGCAUGCUGGAGGUAUCAGAAGUGCGAAUGCUGACAUAAGUAACGAUAAAGCGGGUGAAAAGCCCGCUCGCCGGAAGACCAAGGGUUCCUGUCCAACGUUAAUCGGGGCAGGGUGAGUCGACCCCUAAGGCGAGGCCGAAAGGCGUAGUCGAUGGGAAACAGGUUAAUAUUCCUGUACUUGGUGUUACUGCGAAGGGGGGACGGAGAAGGCUAUGUUAGCCGGGCGACGGUUGUCCCGGUUUAAGCAUGUAGGCUGGUUAUCCAGGCAAAUCCGGAUAAUCAAGGCUGAGGUGUGAUGACGAGGCACUACGGUGCUGAAGUAACAAAUGCCCUGCUUCCAGGAAAAGCCUCUAAGCAUCAGGUAACAUCAAAUCGUACCCCAAACCGACACAGGUGGUCAGGUAGAGAAUACCAAGGCGCUUGAGAGAACUCGGGUGAAGGAACUAGGCAAAAUGGUGCCGUAACUUCGGGAGAAGGCACGCUGGUGUGUAGGUGAAGUCCCUGCGGAUGGAGCUGAGACCAGUCGAAGAUACCAGCUGGCUGCAACUGUUUAUUAAAAACACAGCACUGUGCAAACACGAAAGUGGACGUAUACGGUGUGACGCCUGCCCGGUGCCGGAAGGUUAAUUGAUGGGGUUAUCCGUAAGGAGAAGCUCUUGAUCGAAGCCCCGGUAAACGGCGGCCGUAACUAUAACGGUCCUAAGGUAGCGAAAUUCCUUGUCGGGUAAGUUCCGACCUGCACGAAUGGCGUAAUGAUGGCCAGGCUGUCUCCACCCGAGACUCAGUGAAAUUGAACUCGCUGUGAAGAUGCAGUGUACCCGCGGCAAGACGGAAAGACCCCGUGAACCUUUACUAUAGCUUGACACUGAACAUUGAGCCUUGAUGUGUAGGAUAGGUGGGAGGCUUUGAAGCGUGGACGCCAGUCUGCGUGGAGCCAACCUUGAAAUACCACCCUUUAAUGUUUGAUGUUCUAACGUUGGCCCCUGACCGGGGUUGCGGACAGUGUCUGGUGGGUAGUUUGACUGGGGCGGUCUCCUCCCAAAGCGUAACGGAGGAGCACGAAGGUUAGCUAAUCCUGGUCGGACAUCAGGAGGUUAGUGCAAUGGCAUAAGCUAGCUUGACUGCGAGCGUGACGGCGCGAGCAGGUGCGAAAGCAGGUCAUAGUGAUCCGGUGGUUCUGAAUGGAAGGGCCAUCGCUCAACGGAUAAAAGGUACUCCGGGGAUAACAGGCUGAUACCGCCCAAGAGUUCAUAUCGACGGCGGUGUUUGGCACCUCGAUGUCGGCUCAUCACAUCCUGGGGCUGAAGUAGGUCCCAAGGGUAUGGCUGUUCGCCAUUUAAAGUGGUACGCGAGCUGGGUUUAGAACGUCGUGAGACAGUUCGGUCCCUAUCUGCCGUGGGCGCUGGAGAAUUGAGGGGGGCUGCUCCUAGUACGAGAGGACCGGAGUGGACGCAUCACUGGUGUUCGGGUUGUCAUGCCAAUGGCACUGCCCGGUAGCUAAAUGCGGAAGAGAUAAGUGCUGAAAGCAUCUAAGCACGAAACUUGCCCCGAGAUGAGUUCU
This 2606-nucleotide ribosomal RNA is filed under the name Klebsiella pneumoniae. Its description in RNAcentral is "bacterial LSU rRNA". It matches the Rfam family "Bacterial large subunit ribosomal RNA". Lineage: Bacteria; Pseudomonadati; Pseudomonadota; Gammaproteobacteria; Enterobacterales; Enterobacteriaceae. The record is from RNAcentral.